AUUGAACGCUGGCGGAAUGCUUUACACAUGCAAGUCGAACGGUAGAGGGGCAACCCUUGAGAGUGGCGAACGGGUGAGUAAUGUAUCGGAACAUGCCCAAUCGUGGGGGAUAACGUAGCGAAAGUUACGCUAAUACCGCAUACGAUCUACGGAUGAAAGCGGGGGAUCGCAAGACCUCGCGUGAUUGGAGUGGCCGAUAUCAGAUUAGGUAGUUGGGGGGGUAAAGGCACACCAAGCCGACGAUCUGUAGCUGGUCUGAGAGGACGACCAGCCACACUGGGACUGAGACACGGCCCAGACUCCUACGGGAGGCAGCAGUGGGGAAUUUUGGACAAUGGGCGCAAGCCUGAUCCAGCCAUUCCGCGUGCAGGAAGAAGGCCUUCGGGUUGUAAACUGCUUUUGUACGGAACGAAACGCGCUGUGCUAAUACCACGGCGUAAUGACGGUACCGUAAGAAUAAGCACCGGCUAACUACGUGCCAGCAGCCGCCGUAA
This 494-nucleotide ribosomal RNA is filed under the name uncultured bacterium. RNAcentral describes it as "partial 16S ribosomal RNA". It matches the Rfam family "Bacterial small subunit ribosomal RNA", at positions 30 to 523 of the family's 1533-position model. The record is from RNAcentral.